AGAGUUUGAUCAUGGCUCAGGACGAACGCUGGCGGCGCGCCUCAUACAUGCAAGUCGAGCGUGAAGCGGGACUUCGGUCCCGUGGAAAGCGGCGAACGGGUGCGUAACACGUGAGCAACCUGCCCCGAAGACUGGAAUAACCCGGGGAAACCCGGGCUAAUACCGGAUGUCCUCCUCCGAUCGCAUGGUUGGAAGAGGAAAUGUUCAGGCGCUUCGGGAUGGGCUCGCGGUCUAUCAGCUUGUUGGUGGGGUAACGGCCUACCAAGGCGACGACGGAUAGCUGGUCUGAGAGGACGAUCAGCCACACUGGGACUGAGACACGGCCCAGACUCCUACGGGAGGCAGCAGUAGGGAAUCUUGCGCAAUGAGGGAAACCUUGACGCAGCGACGCCGCGUGCGGGAUGAAUGCCUUCGGGUUGUAAACCGCUUUCAGCAGGGACGAAAUUGACGGUACCUGCAGAAGAAGGCCCGGCCAACUACGUGCCAGCAGCCGCGGUA
RNAcentral lists this ribosomal RNA (498 nucleotides) under uncultured Actinomycetes bacterium. RNAcentral describes it as "bacterial SSU rRNA". It matches the Rfam family "Bacterial small subunit ribosomal RNA", at positions 8 to 522 of the family's 1533-position model. The record is from RNAcentral. Lineage: Bacteria; Bacillati; Actinomycetota; Actinomycetes.